Molecule: long non-coding RNA, 3035 nt
Filed under: Nicotiana tabacum (common tobacco)
Lineage: Eukaryota; Viridiplantae; Streptophyta; Magnoliopsida; Solanales; Solanaceae
Description: long non-coding RNA (NTAB_LNC010800)
Source: RNAcentral
ACGUAUCUCUCUUCCUCUCUUCUCACCAUAAAUGUCUUUAUAUUCACGUACUCCCAUUCCUCACACACGCAUAACCCUUUCUUCUCUGUCUGCUCUGUCACUUCUCAUUUGCUUUUAAUACCAAUCUCAUGUUUCAUCCUCCUUCUGAAUAGUCAUAUCCAGUCUUCUCUAAAUCUUUUAAUUAUUGUUUCUUUCAUUUGACUACAGACCAAAGAUUUAUAGCUGUGUUUUCUACCAUUUCACACUUGAAAACAAGAAAAAGUUUUUCUAUUCUCACAGAACCAAGAAUUGUGAGAAAGGCUAAAUGUGGGAUCGUGAAUGAUUUCUAUUUCCAUCCUUUUUACAUGCUAGAAGAUUGAAGUGCUUCAUUUGAUCAAAUAGAAAAACAGAGGUCAGCUUCUUGUUCUAACUCUCCCUUUUAUUAAUUCGUCCCUUUUUUCUUUUCUUGCUCAGGCCAGAUUCAUGUCAAAACUCUACUCUUAUCUAAGAUUUUGUCAGUUUUCGUGACUGGAAAUGUUUUAAAUGGAAAAAGAUCUAUUUUCUAAAUCAUUUGACGUGUUAUUCUCUGUUUUAUCAGUGAAAUCCGCAUCACGAUAAAUCUGAAGCGUCUGGAACAGUCCAAAGCUUUUUUCAGUCUCUUGUUCUUUUAUAGAUUUAACAUAUAUUGACUGUAAGCGUUUAUUUUUUAAUUUUUAUUUUCAGUAUAUUUUAAUUUGUUAUAACAAGUUAUAAUAUAUCUUAUUUUUAGAUUAUCAAUUCCAUUAUUUAUAAAUAGUUAGUACUUGCUAGAUAACCUGAUAGUAAAAGACAUUUUAUUACGUUACUAUCUCGUUGUUGUACAAUGGAGUAUUAAACUUGUUACUAUUUAGUGCUUUUUUAAGCUGAUUGUGUAGGUCUAUUGGAAACAACAUUACAAAACAGGUGUUUGACUGCGUCAAAUGGUUAAAGUUCUUUAUUUUUGGGAGGGGUAAUUUGUCUAAAUUAACCUUUGAACAUGAACUAUAUUUAUAGUGAAACAGUGACUCCUUUUCCCUGAUUGCACUUUUCAUUCAAAGACGAGUUUGACAAUUGUGGAGUCAGAUUUUGAGCUACUAUAUUGGGCUCUGAGCUAAGUAGGAGGCUUGGUAAAUAGUCUCUGGGACCACUUUUCUGAUUGAUUAAAAAUAAAAAAAACUAUAGUCUAUCUGAUAUUUGGAAUUGUUGGAUUUUAGGUUCUGUUGCUCCAUUUAUGUUCCUUCUGGCCACUAUAUGGAUUGAGCAAAUCAAAACUCCAAUUAGCACUUCUUUUUAAUCUGAAAAUCUGGCUGCAUCAAUUUUGUUUUUGGUAAUUAAACAAAUUUUAUUAAUCACCUAAGUAUAUAUUUACAAAGCCACAGCUAAAAUAAACACAUUUAGCUGUUCAUAGAGGUCUAACCAAGAGAGAAUAAAACCCAUGACUCUCGGGAUAAAGUUUGGGAUUAACUUUAUUCAUGUUUGAUUUGGGAUAUUAGCUAAUCUUAGGAUAACUCUUAUACUAAAAUUGUGGGAUUAGCUAUCCCAUAUAAAAGGUGGGAUAGCUAAUCCCAUGGGAUAUUCCACCAUUAUACCAAAACGACCCCUAAGAGUUACAAACUAAGGUGAGAAUAUGUAUCACUUAAUUAUGGUUAAACAGUAAAAAUGUAUACAUGGCAAGACUCAAAUAUAUAUCCGGAAUUUAUUGGUUUGAUCUAAAUGAUGAAUAAGAACAAAAUAAAGGUCUAGUUUUUUGGCAGAUAGUAACUUUUUUGCCUCAGCUAUUGAAUUUUUUUAGAUCUAGUAGCAGUAAUUUAUUUUUUCCAUGUUUGUCAAUUUCAACUGCAUCUUAUAUUUCAGGCUUUGUAAAUGGCUUACUAGUUCCCCUAAUAUUUGAGGCACAUUUUGGGCAAUAUUAAUCAGGAUUGACAAAUAUGGUGAUCAUGAGACAGACAUUAGCCUGCUGCACGAGAAACAGAGAGUUUAGCAUUGACUUUACUGAACAAGAGAGUGAGAUUCCCCCUUCUCUCCUUCUUAUUUGUUUUUACGGUAUGACGUGGUGAUUCUCCCUCCCUAUAAUUGAGGCAAAUCCAACAUUUUUAAUCAAUCAAUGCGGAAAACCAUCAUACCUACUACUACUUUGUGGCAGUGGGCAUUGGCUAUAAAAUUAGAAACAUUAAAAUAUUGCCUUAGUAUUAUUUUGAAGAUUUACAAAUAUAUAUGCUUAAAAAUAACCAUUACUUAGUGAACUCUGCAGAUGUCUUUGCACAAAAUGAGGAGUAUUCUUUUCCACAAGUGAAUGCUAACAUAUUGUCUAGAUGUUUAGUGUAACUUUCUUGACUUCUGUGAGCCAGAUGAUACUAGAAUGUAGACAUUUCCAUGUUAGUUAUAGGAGUUAGUGUAUGGUCAAAACUGAUUUGAGUCAGUCGUACGGACUGGUCGAGACGAUAAUGUUUCGAUCAAAGGAUAUCUGCAUGACAAGCUCGGUCAAGGUCCGAAGUAAGGGCGGCAAGCUUCGAGCUCUAAGACCGAUCAAUGACAAGCUCGAUAUCAUUAUCGAGCUCAUAUUCAAAUCGAACUAUGAGGCAAAGCGGGGAUUAUCGAAGAUGCAUGGACCGACCAACACUUACCCCGAAUACCGAGACGCCAAGUCAGAAUCGAGCUCGAAUCAAGGCUGAGGGCUCGAUCCAAUACCGAGCUCGAGCCAGUAUCGAGCUCGCAGACUAGGGCCGUUGCAACCGCACUAUGGGAGAGAAUCUUGACGGAAAUCGAGAAAAAGACAAUACAUCAUGGACUCUCCACUACGCAUUUUUUAUUGUAUAUAAAGUAGGAUCUCUCUACUAUAAGAGGGACAUGGAUUGUAAGCAAGCGUGAGACUGGAACAAAAGAUCACUUCUCAUAUUGAAAGAUAUCCCCUUGUGUUUGUUUUACUUUAUCUUAUUCAUUCUUUUUGCUUACUAUUCUCAUUCUCAUAGUCAAGAAUACACAUAUUUCUAUUUCUCUACACGAUUUAUAUCAAAUUAUAUCGCGUAUCCUUAGAACCA